CUCCUCUCUCCUCCACCCCUUCUCUCUCCUUCGAUCUCUCUCUCCAUUCCUCCCUCAAUCUUUGUCUCUCUCUGUCUCAGUCCAGCAGCUCUGGCACUAAGGACUCUGUGUCUAAGGGACGGUUGGGUGAGUGAGCAUCCAAGCACAGGUGGAAUUAAGGUUAUAGGGUUAAACACACACACACACACACACACACACACACACACACACACACACACACACACACACACACACACACACACACACACACACACACACACACACACACACACACACACACACACACACACACACACACACUAUACUCCAGCUCAUGUGAUCAACGGCCAGGUGGUGUGUGUGUGUGUGUGUGUGUGUAUGCGUGCAUGUGUUUUUAUGUGUGUGUGUGUGACUGAGAGUCCAUCUGCCGCUCUGAUUCUCCAAUGUCGACACUCUUUGAUCUGUGGUGACACAGCAUAUGGCCUCCUGGUUCUACCCUUCCCUCUCUCUCUCUCUCUCCCUCUCCUUCCUUCUCUUCCUCUCCUCCUUCAAGCCAACAGUCUGUCCUGAUAUAAACCGUCUGUGAUAUGAAUAUGAGCUCCAGAGACAGCAUGAGUGUUCCAAAUGACACCCUAUUCCCUUCAAAGGGCACUACUUCUGACCAGGGUAUACAGGGGACUAGGGUGCUACUUGGGAAGCAGACAGACACACGGCUGAUAUUCCUCAAAGCUUUUGGGCCAUUACUCAAACUCUGUCAUCGGAGAGAUAUGAAAUCAUAUAUUUCAUUGAAGGAUAGGCACCCAUUACAUCUCCAGUCAUCCCAAACCAGAUAUGAUCUCUGAGUCCCAAACGGCCUGCUUUUCUCUAUACAGUGCAUUAUUUAUGACCAGGGCGAGUAGGGCUCUGGUCAAAAGUAGUACACGGCGUAGGGAAUAGGGUGCCAUUUGAGGUGAGGACAAUAUGCCUGAUGCACUAAUCUGCUGUUUAAACCACUAGUCCAUUAAAUGGUGGAAAAUACAUGAACAAUAUUAGGCUCAGGUCAAUGUUUGAAUAAGAUAAGGUAGCUAGGUAGGCCAUGUUUUUAUGUCUGCAUCCUAUCCUAUUCCCUACGGGCCCUGGUGAAAAGAAGUGCCCUAAAUAGGGAAUAGGGUGCCAUUUGGGCUGAAGGUUAUAGCCUAGCAGCGUAGUACACACGUACCGUUGAUGACGCAGGCUUAGACGUAGGGACCAUAGUAUGAUACUAUAGCCAUUUUCCAAUGCAUCAUAUGAAGCACACGUACUCACGCACGCACACACAAGCAAACACACUCUUGGACUCAUACCUUAGAUUUAACUGCAUGGUCGCACGCCUCUCUCUCCUCAGAGCCCAAAUAUUCUCUCUUUCUCUCUCCUGCUCUCUCCUCUGUUUACAUAAGACAACAGAGGAGUAAUCGGAUGGAUUUUCACCUUUGUACAAACAGCAACAAUGGCUGCCACCACAGAGACCACACCAUCACUAUGACAAGAACCAGGGACAGGAGAGAGGGAGAGGGAGGAAGGGGGGAUUGGGGGAGAGGGAGAGAGUGUAAGGGUGGGAAGGAGAGAGAGAGAGGGCGGGAAGGAGGGGGGAGGGAGAGAGAGGGGACAUUCCGCAUGAAGCUGAAACAAAAAAAGACUAUGACUUUUUGGAAAGAGAGGGAAGGAAGAAAGAAAUAAAGAACCAUUAUGACUGACCCCCUGUAGCCCAAACCUCUCCCCCUCCAUUCCUCCUUCCAUCCCCCCCUCCAUUCCUCCCUCAUUCUCUCCGUCAUCUGACUCCCACCUGACUAGAUGUGUAUCCCAAAUAGCACCCUCUGACCUAAACAGUGCACUACUGUUGACAUGGGCAGACUCCGGCAGAAUGCUAUCUCAGAAAACCCAGAGAUUUGAAUUUCUGGAUUUCUGAGGACAACCUUCAACAUGACGAUACAGGGUAUAAUAAAAUUCCUAUGAAGUAACAUAGUCCAGACCGACACCUUAUCUGGCAAUGACUCAUUCACACACAUGUACACGCUCGCACAGACACAAACACACACACACACACACACUUGAAACCAGAUGUGCAGAACCAGCCCCAGACAGGGAGCCUGAGGGCUGAGCGAACCCAAGUGUAUCACGACGGACGGGGACUAAACACACAACACCCCCACCUGGAAGUCCCAGAUCAAGUUGCAUAAAUCAUUCUAUGUAAUGAUUCAACAACGAACAGAGUGAAAAGAGAAUUAAUAUAUAGAGUCACACUUUCCUUCUGCACUAGUGGCUAAACACACUACACUAGACCAGUUAGAUAGAGGUGUUAUCAUCCCACACUACACUAGACCAGUUAGAUAGAGGUGGUGUUAUCAUCCCACACUACACUAGACCAGUUAGAUAGAGGUGUUAUCAUCCCACACUACACUAGACCAGUUAGAUAGAGGUGGUGUUAUCAUCCCACACUACACUAGACCAGUUAGAUAGAGGUGGUGUUAUCAUCCCACACUACACUAGACCAGUUAGAUAGAGGUGGUGUUAUCAUCCCCCACUAGACCAGUUAGAUAGAGGUGGUGCUAUCAUCCCACAUCACACUAGACCAGUUAGAUAGAGGUGGUGUUAUCAUCCCACACUACACUAGACCAGUUAGAUAGAGGUGGUGUUAUCAUCCCACACUACACUAGACCAGUUAGAUAGAGGUGGUGUUAUCAUCCCACACUACACUAGAC
Long non-coding RNA from Oncorhynchus tshawytscha (Chinook salmon), 2696 nucleotides. The record is from Ensembl. NCBI's taxonomy places the organism in Eukaryota, Metazoa, Chordata, Actinopteri, Salmoniformes, Salmonidae.